CAGCCGCCGCGGUAAUACGUAGGGUGCGAGCGUUAAUCGGAACUACUGGGCGUAAAGCGUGCGCAGGCGGUUCGUUAAGACAGAUGUGAAAUCCCCGGGCUUAACCUGGGAACUGCAUUUGUGACUGGCGAGCUAGAGUAUGGCAGAGGGGGGUAGAAUUCCACGUGUAGCAGUGAAAUGCGUAGAGAUGUGGAGGAAUACCGAUGGCGAAGGCAGCCCCCUGGGCCAAUACUGACGCUCAUGCACGAAAGCGUGGGGAGCAAACAGGAUUAGAUACCCCCGUAGUCCCUGUCUCUUAUAC
RNAcentral lists this ribosomal RNA (301 nucleotides) under uncultured bacterium. RNAcentral's name for it is "partial 16S ribosomal RNA". It matches the Rfam family "Bacterial small subunit ribosomal RNA", at positions 509 to 807 of the family's 1533-position model. The record is from RNAcentral.